ACGACGCUGGCGGCGUGCCUAACACAUGCAAGUCGAGACGAGAAAGUCCCUUCGGGGGCGAGUAAAGCGGCGGACGGGUGAGUAAUACAUGGAUAAUCUUCCCUCGAGCCUGGGAUAACCCUGCGAAAGUGGGGCUAAUACCGGAUAAGACCACAUGACACAUGUCACGGGGUAAAGGUGGCUUGUAUUUAUAUGAGCUAUCACUUGAGGAUGAGUCCAUGGCCUAUCAGCUAGUUGGUGAGGUAAGAGCUUACCAAGGCUAUGACGGGUAGCUGGUCUGAGAGGACGACUAGCCACACUGGGACUGAGACACGGCCCAGACUCCUACGGGAGGCAGCAGUGGGGAAUAUUGGGCAAUGGGCGAAAGCCUGACCCAGCGACGCCGCGUGGGUGAUGAAAGGCCUUCGGGUUGUAAAACCCUUUCGUGCGGAAAGAAUAGUCCUGUAGCGAAUAACUACGAGAUUUGACGGUACCGCAGGAAGAAGCACCGGCUAACUCCGUG
Molecule: ribosomal RNA, 502 nt
Filed under: uncultured bacterium
Lineage: Bacteria
Description: bacterial SSU rRNA
Rfam family: Bacterial small subunit ribosomal RNA
Source: RNAcentral